Molecule: ribosomal RNA, 497 nt
Filed under: uncultured bacterium
Lineage: Bacteria
Description: partial 16S ribosomal RNA
Rfam family: Bacterial small subunit ribosomal RNA
Source: RNAcentral
GAUGAACGCUGGCGGCGUGCCUAAUACAUGCAAGUCGAGCGAACAGACGAGGAGCUUGCUCCUCUGACGUUAGCGGCGGACGGGUGAGUAACACGUGGAUAACCUACCUAUAAGACUGGGAUAACUUCGGGAAACCGGAGCUAAUACCGGAUAAUAUAUUGAACCGCAUGGUUCAAUAGUGAAAGACGGUUUUGCUGUCACUAAUAGAUGGAUCCACGUCGCAUUAGCUAGUUGGUAAGGUAACGGCUUACCAAGGCAACGAUGCGUAGCCGACCUGAGAGGGUGAUCAGCCACACUGGAACUGAGACACGGUCCAGACUCCUACGGGAGGCAGCAGUAGGGAAUCUUCCGCAAUGGGCGAAAGCCUGACGGAGCAACGCCGCGUGAGUGAUGAAGGUCUUCGGAUCGUAAAACUCUGUUAUUAGGGAAGAACAAAUGUGUAAGUAACUAUGCACGUCUUGACGGUACCUAAACAGAAAGCCACGGCUAACUACGUG